RNAcentral lists this ribosomal RNA (1387 nucleotides) under uncultured bacterium. RNAcentral's name for it is "bacterial SSU rRNA". It matches the Rfam family "Bacterial small subunit ribosomal RNA". The record is from RNAcentral.
AGUUUGAUCCUGGCUCAGAUUGAACGCUGGCGGCGUGCUUAACACAUGCAAGUCGAACGAGAAAGUUCCUUCGGGAAUGAGUAGAGUGGCGCACGGGUGAGUAACGCGUGGAUAAUCUACCGGGGAGUGGGGAAUAACAGUUGGAAACGGCUGCUAAUACCGCAUACGCUGCAUAUAUAUCUAUGCAGGAAAGGGGGCCUCGCAUAAGUUCCGGUUUCGAAAGAGCCCGGUCCCAUAACUUGUUGCGGGGGAACGCCCCACCAAGGGGACGAUGGGUACUUGUUUGAGGGGUGCCCACCCCAAUGGGAAUGGAACAGGGCCCAGAUUCUUCGGGAGGCACCAUGGGGAAUAUUCGCAAUGGGGGAAGCCUGACGAAGGGACGCCGCUGAGGGAUGAAGUUUUCGGAUCGUAACCUUUGUCAGAAGGGAAGAAGUUGCAUGGGGCCAAUCACCUGUGCAUUGACGGUCCUUCAAAGGAAGCACCGGCUAACUCCGUGCCAGCAGCCGCGGUAAUACGGAGGGUGCGAGCGUUAAUCGGAAUUACUGGGCGUAAAGCGCACGUAGGCUGUAUGUCAAGUCAAGGGUGAAAUCCCACGGCUCAACCGUGGAACUGCCUUUGAAACUGGCAAACUGGAGUAUGUGAGAGGGCGGCGGAAUUCCUGGUGUAGGAGUGAAAUCCGUAGAUAUCAGGAGGAACAUCAGUGGCGAAGGCGGCCGCCUGGCACAAAACUGACGCUGAGGUGCGAAAGCGUGGGUAGCAAACAGGAUUAGAUACCCUGGUAGUCCACGCUGUAAACGAUGGAUACUGGGUGUUGGGUUUUAUUGACUCGGCGCCGUAGCUAACGCGUUAAGUAUCCCGCCUGGGGAGUACGGUCGCAAGGCUGAAACUCAAAGAAAUUGACGGGGGCCCGCACAAGCGGUGGAGUAUGUGGUUUAAUUCGAUGCAACGCGAAGAACCUUACCCAGGCUUGACAUCCAGGGAACCCAUGUGAAAGCGUGGGGUACUCUUCGGAGGACCCUGAGACAGGUGCUGCAUGGCUGUCGUCAGCUCGUGCCGUGAGGUGUUGGGUUAAGUCCCGCAACGAGCGCAACCCCUGUUCUUAGUUGCCAUCAGGUAAAGCUGGGCACUCUAGGGAGACCGCCCCGGUUAACGGGGAGGAAGGUGGGGACGACGUCAAGUCAUCAUGGCCCUUACGCCUGGGGCUACACACGUACUACAAUGGCGCAUACAAAGGGAAGCGAAGCCAUGAGGCGAAGCCAAUCUCAAAAAAUGCGUCCCAGUUCGGAUUGGAGUCUGCAACUCGACUCCAUGAAGUCGGAAUCGCUAGUAAUUCCGGAUCAGCAUGCCGGGGUGAAUGCGUUCCCGGGCCUUGUACACACCGCCCGUC